This is a long non-coding RNA of Oncorhynchus keta (chum salmon), 711 nucleotides long. RefSeq lists it as uncharacterized. NCBI's taxonomy places the organism in Eukaryota, Metazoa, Chordata, Actinopteri, Salmoniformes, Salmonidae. The record is from RefSeq and is a predicted model, not a curated record. The transcript has 3 exons.
GGUGUUGUGUAGCUCCUCCUCCAGGGUCGACUUGCUGUGCUCUGUGUCCCGGGGUAGUGUAGGAAAACCAUCAGGUUGACUGACCUGGGGUAGUGUAGGAAAACCAACAGGUUGACUGACCUGGGGUAGUGUAGGAAAACCAUCAGGUUGACUGACCUGGGGUAGUGUAGGAAAACCAUCAGGUUGACUGACCUGGGGUAGUGUAGGAAAACCAGCAGGCUGACUGACCUGGGGUAGUGUAGGAAAACCAUCAGGUUGACUGACCUGGGGUAGUGUAGGAAAACCAUCAGGUUGACUGACCUGGGGUAGUGUAGGAAAACCAUCAGGUUGACUGAUCUGGGGUAGUGUAGGAAAACCAUCAGGUUGACUGAUCUGGGGUAGUGUAGGAAACCCAGCAGGCUGACUGAUCUGGGGUAGUGUAGGAAAACCAGCAGGCUGACUGACCUGAGGUAGUGUAGGAAAACCAGCAGGCUGACUGACCUGGGGUAGUGUAGGAAAACCAGCAGGCUGACUGACCUGAGGUAGUGUAGGAAAACAAACAGGUUGACUGAUCUGGGGUAGUGUAGGAAAACCAUCAGGUUGACUGAUCUGGGGUAGUGUAGGAAAACCAUCAGGUUGACUGAUAUGGGGUAGUGUAGGAAAACCAGCAGGUUGACUGAUCUGGGGUAGUGUAGGAAAACCAGCAGGUUGACUGACCUGGGGUAGUGUAGG